This 682-nucleotide ribosomal RNA is filed under the name uncultured bacterium. Its description in RNAcentral is "bacterial SSU rRNA". It matches the Rfam family "Bacterial small subunit ribosomal RNA", at positions 91 to 759 of the family's 1533-position model. The record is from RNAcentral.
GCGAGCGGCGGAUGGGUGAGUAACACGUGGGAACCUGCCCCAUAGUCUGGGAUACCACUUGGAAACAGGUGCUAAUACCGGAUAAGAAAGCAGAUCGCAUGAUCAGCUUUUAAAAGGCGGCGUAAGCUGUCGCUAUGGGAUGGCCCCGCGGUGCAUUAGCUAGUUGGUAAGGUAAAGGCUUACCAAGGCGAUGAUGCAUAGCCGAGUUGAGAGACUGAUCGGCCACAUUGGGACUGAGACACGGCCCAAACUCCUACGGGAGGCAGCAGUAGGGAAUCUUCCACAAUGGACGCAAGUCUGAUGGAGCAACGCCGCGUGAGUGAAGAAGGUUUUCGGAUCGUAAAGCUCUGUUGUUGGUGAAGAAGGAUAGAGGUAGUAACUGGCCUUUAUUUGACGGUAAUCAACCAGAAAGUCACGGCUAACUACGUGCCAGCAGCCGCGGUAAUACGUAGGUGGCAAGCGUUGUCCGGAUUUAUUGGGCGUAAAGCGAGCGCAGGCGGAAGAAUAAGUCUGAUGUGAAAGCCCUCGGCUUAACCGAGGAACUGCAUCGGAAACUGUUUUUCUUGAGUGCAGAAGAGGAGAGUGGAACUCCAUGUGUAGCGGUGGGAAUGCGUAGAUAUAUGGAAGAACACCAGUGGCGAAGGCGGCUCUCUGGUCUGCAACUGACGCUGAGGCUCGAAAA